CAUCAUGCUAUUAAUAGCACAGCUGACAUGUGUAAACAAACACGUGAGUGCACACACAGAAUUUCGGCAGGAAAAUACUCACAACUACUUGGAAAUAAAACCUAAAAAGACAACAGGAAUUUACCAGACGAAAAUGCCAGAUCUCUAGGAUAAUAUAGUUUUUAUUAGUUGACCAGUCCUUGAGCAUAGACGACAUCCUGAAUAUUCUGAGAAACAAGUGGGCCAUGCAACCUCCCAAGCUGCUCAUCUGCAUCUUAGGAGGCGAUAAAUCGGAUGCGUGCAUGACCAGUGACGUGGCGAAAGAAAUUUGUGAGGCUCUGGUUGAGGCAGUCCUGAGUACCGAUGUCUGGUUGAUGACGGGUGGUCUCCAGCUUGGAUUGGUGAAGAGCAUAGGGGAGGCCUUGGCUGAAGAAGCCACGGGUCGCGCUUUAAUCAAGCAGAGGGAUCUGGUGGCAAUAGGCGUAGCACCUCUCAGUGUCCUGCAUCAGAAAGAGAAAUUCAGCGUCACCCGAAGCCUCCAAAGAGUACCCCGAUAGUACUGGACUAUUCUGCACAUACGGCCGAAAAGCCGGGUAGCAUGCUUGAACCGAAUCACACUCACUUCAUCUUAGUGGAUGACGACGGACAGGAGCUGGGUAUUGAAGCCAAGACAAGGAACCAACUGAUAGCCAAGACAAGGAACCAACUGAUCAACAAGAUAGCGACUUGGAAAAUAGGAGAAGACGUCACAAAUGCCACAAUUCCUGCUGUCUAUCUCCUCCUUGGCGGUGACGUCACCAUCUUCGAGACUCUGGCGGAUGCCGCCAAUAACAACAUUCCGAUCGUCGUCUUCCCAGAAUCCAAAGGGGCCGCCGAGGUGCUGGUUGAAAUCUUGGAUGCUCACGAGAGGAUCGAUCAGAAACAGUUCGGAAAAGAGGCCGUUAAAAUUUUGAUAAGGAAGCUCCACUUGACAGAAGACACUGCAGUUCAUCAAUUCAAUGGGCAGAUUCAGUCUGUUAUCGAACGACGUCAUCUAAUCAAAAUCUAUCUGCCGAAGCAAAAAAAGGAUAACGGCACCAUUCUCACUGUCUUGAUGCAAGCUUCCAUGGUGACCACCACGGAGCUGAUGCCAGCCAUAAGAUGCAUGGAGAGUGCCCCACAAGGACUCGACGAUUCUGCCGUCGUCACCAAAAGUGUAAAGCGUUCAUAUGCAGAUGGAUACACUGGUUCCGAUGAGGCUUCCACCACCACACGGGCUCUCCCAGUGACUUCGAUGAUGUCUCAAGCUCCGCCUACAGAUAUGGAAGAGGAAUUCAUCACGGAAGGGGAAUUGGAAGUGGAGCCGCCGUCGCGUAUGUGCAGCCCUUCCAUGGUGACCACCAGGGAGCUGAUGCCAGCCAAAGAUGAGUUAAGAUGCAUGGAGAGUGCCCCACAAGGACUCGACGAUUCUGCUGUCGUUACCAAAAGUGGUUCCGAUGAGGUGAAACAACAACAUGGACCGGACGACUCGGAGACAGACAAGAUAUUACGCCGCCAGUACGAGGACAUGCACCGGGCUGUCACCGGGAACCAAAUUCACACUGCCAAGUCCAAUUUUGAUGAAAACAGCGUGAUAUGGCAGAACUUGGACUUGGUGAAAAAGUUACUGCACAUCGCCCUCGUCAAUGAUCAGCACAAAUUUGUCAAGUUCUUCAUCGUGGUUGGGAGGAUUGACGUCGGGAAAGUCCUGACAAACGAUCAACUGAAGAAAUUGUACAACGAGAUAGAUAAUCGCUCUGUUGUCUUCAAAAUAUUGGAGGAAAUGAAGGAAAAUGAAACGAAUUCCGACAACAAGUUUUCCCUGGAGGAUGUCGAUCGUCUCAUGAAAGAGCUGAUUUUUGACACGUACACGACUCAUAGGGAUGAGCCUGCCAAGCACCCAUAUAAGGAGUUGUUUUUGUGGGCGGUGCUCCAGGAUCGCAUCCCGAUGGCCAUGGUCUUUUGGAAGCUUGGCAAGCUGUCCAUGGGAGGCGCGCUAGUGGCACUCAAGCUCCUGAGGGAAUUGUCAAACCGCCAGGAAGAGAUUGACGCAAAGAAAGCUGCCAAUAUGAAGCAGCAUGCCGAGAAAUUCGAGCAGAUGGCAGUAGAUAUCCUGGACAUGUGCUAUGAGGACGACAGACGGCGUACAUCGGAACUGUUGGCGCGGGUCAUGCCGGAGUGGGGUGGUGCCACGGGUCUGGACAUCGCCGCUGCUGCGAAGAGCAAGCUCUUCAUAUCGCAAGUGGGCGUGCAGAGUCUGCUCAGCGAGCUCUGGAUGGGAAGGCUGUUUAUUACAACACACACAUUUAGGAUCUUCCUGUGUCUGCUCUUUCCCUUCUUCUCAACCUUUCUGAUAACCUUCUGUGCCGAGAAUGACACGAGUGUUCCACUGAAAAGGAAAAAGGGACGUGUACCUGCGAAAACGUCGGGUAACAGUAAUGGAAUGGCUCAGAACGACAGAAAUUGUGGAUAUGGAGGGGAAUUGGACGAACUCUGGUGGUACGAGAAGUUGAAACUUUUCAUGGAGGCACCUGUUGUAUGUUUCAGCUACGAUGCGAUUUCCCACAUGGCGUUUCUGGUGCUGUUCAGCUACAUCAUGCUGUCCAACUUUCAUCCAGAAGUCUCAGUCUUUGAGAUUGUUCUGAUGUUCAUGGUCUUCACAAAGUUCACCGAGGAAUUACGCCAGAUACUUCAGGAGGAGUACAACACGCUGCUGCACCGUUUCCAAGCCUGGCUGUUGGGCUGGAACAUUGUGGACCUGAUCUCCCUGGUCAUGUUCGCUGUCGGUGUCGGCCUGCGAUUCCACCCAGCAACCUUCGCCGCGGCGCGCAUUGUGCUGGCUCUGGACCUCAUGGUGUUCUACCUCCGGAUUCUAAACAUCUGCUACGCCAGCAAGCUUUUGGGUCCAAAGCUCAUCAUGAUCACAAGGAUGAUGGUGGAUUUGAUCAGCUUUGUCUGUAUCCUGCUUGUGUUUCUGAUCGCCUAUGGAGUAACCUGUCAGGCCAUCUUCUAUCCUAAUUCCACCGAUCCAGAGUCCAUCGCUAAAGGAGUCCUGUACCGAUCCUACUUCCAGCUGUACGGCGAGCUGUUUCUGGAUGGUUACGACAACUGUGCUACGGACGAGACGCAACUUGAAGGUGGUAUGGUGUCCUGCCCCCAACAUUCCUGGUUCUCUACAGUUAGUUUAGUCUUCUACCUGUUCAUCAGUAACAUCCUUCUGAUCAACCUCCUCAUUGCUAUGCUGAACUACACCUUCACAGCAGUUCAAGAGAACACGGAUGCAUACUGGAAAAUUCAGAGGUACCAGCUGAUCAAGGAAUAUUACCGCCGCCCAGCGUUAGUUUCCCCUUUCAUCCUGCUGGUUCAUAUGUACCAGUUGGUGCGCUACCUCGUGGAGCGAUUUUCUGAAUGCAAAUUGUACAGGGUGCCUAAUCUCAUGAAGAGAAACUUUCAGCCCAAGGUGAUGGCGGAGCUGUUGGCCUUUGCGAAGUUGAAGUGCCAGGAUUAUCUGACCGAUCUGAAAGAGAAGAAGGUGGACAAAAAGAAGAAGAAGAUGGCGAAAAUCGAAAAGAAUUUGUCAAUGAAGGCUACCCAGAAGCAGGUGGAGGAAAUAAAAAAAGAGCUCGAGGCACUGUCCUCACGCAUGAAGAGGAAUCAGAUUCUGAGUGAAAAUUGUGACGUAGGAAAAGAAGUAACAACCCGAACGAGAUGCGACAAGAAAAAAGCAACAAGGCCCCAAACGGCUUAUGAGUAGUGAUGUAGGGUGGACGGAACACCUGCUUGGACUCCAGUUUGCCCUUUUCCUUUACUGAAUCCCACCCUUUCGUCCAGUCGAGCAGGAUAGACGGAAAGCUCUUUGUUUUUCGUUAUUAUCUUGGAAAUAUAGCUACAACCAUCAGAGAACGAUAACUAUGCCAAAGGAUGUUGCGCAUUCAUGUUGAGGUACAACUGUUUAACGGCUUGGUUUUUGCUGUCACGAUUUCGAGGUCUUUUUUAAGCUCUGACAGGAGCUUCUACGUGUUGAUCACUUGGUGGUCAGUCGGUCGGUCGGUCUGUCUGCCUGUCGUCUGUCUGCCCCGAAAAUUGACCCAAGUGUGGUGUUCCAUAUGUGCCAUCGGCGCUGAUAUUUUUAAGCUCUGGCAGGGAUAGGCCUAAGUUUGGUCGAUUUCAUGCAAGACUGUCAAGUAUGACUUCUUGCAACACGACCAGAGCUUAUUGUGCACUCGCACUUUUUGUAUCCUCCUAGGAGUACCAACUGCCACUACCUUUUUUCCUACCAGCUUAGGGGUUCCUAAUAAUUAUUUUCUAUCUUCCUAUAAAGGGGUUUUGUGAUGCCUAUUUUUCAAUUUCCUAUGGGGGUCUUUUCAAGAGGAGUUUUCAGGGGUUUUCUCUAUAAACACUUCCUAUUUUUAAGCUCUGGCAGGGGCUUUUAUACUUGUCACUUGGUGGUCGGUCGGUCGGAUGGUCUGUCCGUCGGUCCCGAAAAUUGACCAAAAGUAUGGUGUUCCAUUAGUGCCAUCGGCGUCGCAU
RNA transcript from Patiria miniata (bat star), 4527 nucleotides. It is a transcript of the gene named transient receptor potential cation channel subfamily M member 5-like, with no coding region annotated. The record is from RefSeq and is a predicted model, not a curated record. The transcript is spliced from 28 exons. NCBI's taxonomy places the organism in Eukaryota, Metazoa, Echinodermata, Asteroidea, Valvatida, Asterinidae.